UGCAUACGUACGGAUUGCGUAGGGAAGUGUAGAGAGAUGCAUACCAUGGAAUGGAAGCUGACAGUUUGUCGGAAUUCUAUCGAAGAAUCUCGGACAUAAAAGAAAACCAAGACAGGGAUUUAUCAGAUACAGAGGUUACUUGCUCUGUUCUAACCAAACAAAAAACUCUCGAUAGCUUCUCAGUUUUUGUAACACCGACAAAAUAUCAAGAACGUUUUUUUUUUUCUUUGUUCUUUUUCUUUUGGGGUGUUAAAAUUAUUGGUGAUGGUGGUGGUGGUAAGUGUGCAUGAAGGAAGAAGGGUGAUGGUGAUGAUUAUGGUGAUGUUAUUCUUGGAAGAUAAGCUGCUGGUUCACUUACCCCACCCCCUACCCACCUUCAUUUAAAAUAAAAUAAUUAACUUAUUUAUUUACUGUUAACUUUCUAUAAUAUGGAAGUCGGGAAGAGACGGAUUUGAAAUCCGAUGAAGA
RNAcentral lists this long non-coding RNA (468 nucleotides) under Salvia miltiorrhiza (redroot sage). Its description in RNAcentral is "long non-coding RNA (SMIL_LNC009208)". The record is from RNAcentral. Lineage: Eukaryota; Viridiplantae; Streptophyta; Magnoliopsida; Lamiales; Lamiaceae.